UAGCCAAUGAGUUGAAGAGCUGGUUUGACAGCAGGCAGUACUGCAGGGAUCAUGGUGCUGAUCUGGUCAUUAUCAACACUGAAGAGAAGCAGAGGUUCAUAUCUUUAUAUAUGAAAGAUGUUAACAGAGUGUGGAUUGGUCUAUCUGACAGAGAGCAGGAGGGCAACAUGAAAUGGGUGAAUAAUUCACCACUGAAACAAGGGUUUUGGAUGGAAGGUGAGCCGAAUAACUAUGAAGGUGUAGAUGAGGACUGUGUUGAAAUGAUACUUUCGAAAGACACACUGAAAAACUGGAAUGAUCUGCCAUGCUCAAUUCAAAGAAAAGGAAUUUGUGAGAAAUAGUGACUUAUGUUUUUGCUUGUGUUAUUUUAUGGCAUCAACCUUAUUGUGGUUGUAUAAUUCAUUUUUAAGUUUCCUGUCUUUUAAAACAUGUAAAACAUAAUGUGUUGUGAAACACAUCUGAUGUGGUCAUGUUAUGCUAAAUCACAAGCAGCUCUAUAUAAAUAUGAUCAUAUUCUAGUUGUUAUCAUGUCUCAUUUGUUGAUCUGUGAUAAGGAGACUAUGACA
Carassius auratus (goldfish) is the source of this 566-nucleotide long non-coding RNA. RefSeq lists it as uncharacterized. NCBI's taxonomy places the organism in Eukaryota, Metazoa, Chordata, Actinopteri, Cypriniformes, Cyprinidae. The transcript has 3 exons. The record is from RefSeq and is a predicted model, not a curated record.